CCUACGGGGCGCAGCAGUGGGGAAUAUUGCGCAAUGGGCGAAAGCCUGACGCAGCGACGCCGCGUGAGGGAUGAAGGUCUUCGGAUCGUAAACCUCUGUCAGCAGGGAAGAACGGUCACUGUGCUAAUCAGCAGUGAAUUGACGGUACCUGCAAAGGAAGCACCGGCUAACUCCGUGCCAGCAGCCGCGGUAAUACGUAGGGGCGAGCGUUAUCCGGAUUCACUGGGGGUAAAGGGAGCGUAGACGGCCCUGCAAGCCAUGGGUGAAAGCCCGUGGCCCAACCCCGGGACUGCCCUUGGAACUGC
RNAcentral lists this ribosomal RNA (305 nucleotides) under uncultured bacterium. RNAcentral describes it as "bacterial SSU rRNA". It matches the Rfam family "Bacterial small subunit ribosomal RNA", at positions 338 to 636 of the family's 1533-position model. The record is from RNAcentral.